ACAAACUUGGUCAUUUAGAGGAAGUAAAAGUCGUAACAAGGUUUCCGUAGGUGAACCUGCGGAAGGAUCAUUACUGAAUUAACGAAGUUGUUGAUGCUGGCUCCUCGGAGCAUGUGCUCGCAGCUUCAAAUUCAACCUUUAACCAACUGUGCACUGUUUAACGGAUUGUAGUACCUCUCAACGAGCAAUCGUUGGAUAGAGGGCUUGCAUUGUCUCACGACGGUGCUUGCCUUCAAUUCUACAGUCCGUCUAUCUACCUAUACUAAGUCCUAGAACGUCCUUUUGUGGGUCUCUGACCUAUAAAAACUUAUACAACUUUCAACAACGGAUCUCUUGGCUCUCGCAUCGAUGAAGAACGCAGC
RNAcentral lists this unclassified non-coding RNA (362 nucleotides) under uncultured fungus. Its description in RNAcentral is "partial contains small subunit ribosomal RNA, internal transcribed spacer 1, and 5.8S ribosomal RNA". The stretch from base 1 to 73 matches the Rfam family "Eukaryotic small subunit ribosomal RNA", at positions 1759 to 1831 of the family's 1831-position model. Lineage: Eukaryota; Fungi. The record is from RNAcentral.